AUUCCCGGUUGAUCCUGCCGGAGGCCAUUGCUCUUGGGGUCCGAUUUAGCCAUGCUAGUCGCACGGGUUCAGACCCGUGGCAAAUAGCUCAGUAGCACGUGGCCAAUCUACCCUCCGGAUCAGCACACCCUCGGGAAACUGAGGCCAAUUCUGUAUACGGCUCCCGACCUGGAAUGGUGGGAGCCCGAAACGCUCCGGCGCCGGAGGAUGAGGCUGCGGCCGAUUAGGUUGACGGUGGGGUAAUGGCCCACCGUGCCGAUAAUCGGUCUGGGUCAUGAGAGUGAGAACCCAGAGACGGAAUCUGAGACAAGAUUCCGGGCCCUACGGGGCGCAGCAGGCGCGAAACCUUUACACUGCACGGAAGUGCGAUAGGGGAAUCCCAAGUGCGAGGGCAUAUUAGCCCUCGCUUUUCUCGACUGUAAGGUGGUCGACGAAUAAGAGCUGGGCAAGACCGGUGCCAGCCGCCGCGGUAAUACCGGCAGCUCAAGUGAUGUCCCAUAUUAUUGGGCCU
RNAcentral lists this ribosomal RNA (511 nucleotides) under uncultured Haloquadratum sp. RNAcentral describes it as "bacterial SSU rRNA". It matches the Rfam family "Archaeal small subunit ribosomal RNA", at positions 1 to 511 of the family's 1478-position model. The record is from RNAcentral. Lineage: Archaea; Methanobacteriati; Methanobacteriota; Halobacteria; Halobacteriales; Haloferacaceae.